This 334-nucleotide unclassified non-coding RNA is filed under the name soil metagenome. RNAcentral's name for it is "partial contains 5.8S ribosomal RNA, internal transcribed spacer 2, and large subunit ribosomal RNA". The stretch from base 1 to 120 matches the Rfam family "5.8S ribosomal RNA", at positions 35 to 154 of the family's 154-position model. The record is from RNAcentral.
GAUGAAGAACGCAGUGAAAUGCGAUAAGUAAUGUGAAUUGCAGAAUUCAGUGAAUCAUCGAAUCUUUGAACGCACAUUGCGCCCCCCAGUAUUCUGGCGGGCAUGCCUGUUCGAGCGUCAUUUCAACCAUCAAGCCCUGCUUGCGUUGGGGUCCUGCGGCUGCCCGCAGGCCCUGAAAACCAGUGGCGGGCUCGCUAGUCACACCGAGCGCAGUAGCACAUCUCGCUCAGGGCGUGCGGCGGGCUCCAGCCGUUAAAGCACCCACCUUUCGCAAGGUUGACCUCGGAUCAGGUAGGAAUACCCGCUGAACUUAAGCAUAUCAAUAAGCGGAGGA